AUUGAACGCUGGCGGCAGGCUUAACACAUGCAAGUCGAGCGGGGUGAUGGUGCUUGCACUAUCACUUAGCGGCGGACGGGUGAGUAAUGCUUAGGAAUCUGCCUAUUAGUGGGGGACAACAUCUCGAAAGGGAUGCUAAUACCGCAUACGUCCUACGGGAGAAAGCAGGGGAUCACUUGUGACCUUGCGCUAAUAGAUGAGCCUAAGUCGGAUUAGCUAGUUGGUGGGGUAAAGGCCUACCAAGGCGACGAUCUGUAGCGGGUCUGAGAGGAUGCUCCGCCACACUGGGACUGGGACACGGCCCAGACUCCUACGGGGGGCAGCAGUGGGGAAUAUUGGACAAUGGGGGGAACCCUGAUCCAGCCAUGCCGCGUGUGUGAAGAAGGCCUUAUGGUUGUAAAGCACUUUAAGCGAGGAGGAGGCUCUUUUGGUUAAUACCCAAGAUGAGUGGACGUUACUCGCAGAAUAAGCACCGGCUAACUCUGUGCCAGCCGCCGCCGUAA
RNAcentral lists this ribosomal RNA (503 nucleotides) under uncultured bacterium. Its description in RNAcentral is "partial 16S ribosomal RNA". It matches the Rfam family "Bacterial small subunit ribosomal RNA", at positions 30 to 523 of the family's 1533-position model. The record is from RNAcentral.